This 2221-nucleotide ribosomal RNA is filed under the name Salmonella enterica. Its description in RNAcentral is "partial 23S ribosomal RNA". It matches the Rfam family "Bacterial large subunit ribosomal RNA", at positions 598 to 2803 of the family's 2925-position model. The record is from RNAcentral. Lineage: Bacteria; Pseudomonadati; Pseudomonadota; Gammaproteobacteria; Enterobacterales; Enterobacteriaceae. RNAcentral also lists the same sequence under 1 other name.
UGCGUACCUUUUGUAUAAUGGGUCAGCGACUUAUAUUCUGUAGCAAGGUUAACCGAAUAGGGGAGCCGGAGGGAAACCGAGUCUUAAUUGGGCGUUAAGUUGCAGGGUAUAGACCCGAAACCCGGUGAUCUAGCCAUGGGCAGGUUGAAGGUUGGGUAACACUAACUGGAGGACCGAACCGACUAAUGUUGAAAAAUUAGCGGAUGACCUGUGGCUGGGGGUGAAAGGCCAAUCAAACCGGGAGAUAGCUGGUUCUCCCCGAAAGCUAUUUAGGUAGCGCCUCGUGAAUUCAUCUCCGGGGGUAGAGCACUGUUUCGGCUAGGGGGCCAUCCCGGCUUACCAACCCGAUGCAAACUGCGAAUACCGGAGAAUGUUAUCACGGGAGACACACGGCGGGUGCUAACGUCCGUCGUGAAGAGGGAAACAACCCAGACCGCCAGCUAAGGUCCCAAAGUCAUGGUUAAGUGGGAAACGAUGUGGGAAGGCCCAGACAGCCAGGAUGUUGGCUUAGAAGCAGCCAUCAUUUAAAGAAAGCGUAAUAGCUCACUGGUCGAGUCGGCCUGCGCGGAAGAUGUAACGGGGCUAAACCAUGCACCGAAGCUGCGGCAGCGACACUGUGUGUUGUUGGGUAGGGGAGCGUUCUGUAAGCCUGCGAAGGUGGCCUGUGAGGGUUGCUGGAGGUAUCAGAAGUGCGAAUGCUGACAUAAGUAACGAUAAAGCGGGUGAAAAGCCCGCUCGCCGGAAGACCAAGGGUUCCUGUCCAACGUUAAUCGGGGCAGGGUGAGUCGACCCCUAAGGCGAGGCCGAAAGGCGUAGUCGAUGGGAAACGGGUUAAUAUUCCCGUACUUGGUGUUACUGCGAAGGGGGGACGGAGAAGGCUAUGUUGGCCGGGCGACGGUUGUCCCGGUUUAAGCGUGUAGGUGUGUGUUCCAGGUAAAUCCGGUUCACUUUAACACUGAGGCGUGACGACGAGGCACUACGGUGCUGAAGCAACAAAUGCCCUGCUUCCAGGAAAAGCCUCUAAGCAUCAGGUAACAUCAAAUCGUACCCCAAACCGACACAGGUGGUCAGGUAGAGAAUACCAAGGCGCUUGAGAGAACUCGGGUGAAGGAACUAGGCAAAAUGGUGCCGUAACUUCGGGAGAAGGCACGCUGACACGUAGGUGAAGUGAUUUACUCAUGGAGCUGAAGUCAGUCGAAGAUACCAGCUGGCUGCAACUGUUUAUUAAAAACACAGCACUGUGCAAACACGAAAGUGGACGUAUACGGUGUGACGCCUGCCCGGUGCCGGAAGGUUAAUUGAUGGGGUCAGCGCAAGCGAAGCUCCUGAUCGAAGCCCCGGUAAACGGCGGCCGUAACUAUAACGGUCCUAAGGUAGCGAAAUUCCUUGUCGGGUAAGUUCCGACCUGCACGAAUGGCGUAAUGAUGGCCAGGCUGUCUCCACCCGAGACUCAGUGAAAUUGAACUCGCUGUGAAGAUGCAGUGUACCCGCGGCAAGACGGAAAGACCCCGUGAACCUUUACUAUAGCUUGACACUGAACAUUGAGCCUUGAUGUGUAGGAUAGGUGGGAGGCUUUGAAGUGUGGACGCCAGUCUGCAUGGAGCCGACCUUGAAAUACCACCCUUUAAUGUUUGAUGUUCUAACGUGGACCCGUUACCCGGGUUGCGGACAGUGUCUGGUGGGUAGUUUGACUGGGGCGGUCUCCUCCUAAAGAGUAACGGAGGAGCACGAAGGUUGGCUAAUCCUGGUCGGACAUCAGGAGGUUAGUGCAAUGGCAUAAGCCAGCUUGACUGCGAGCGUGACGGCGCGAGCAGGUGCGAAAGCAGGUCAUAGUGAUCCGGUGGUUCUGAAUGGAAGGGCCAUCGCUCAACGGAUAAAAGGUACUCCGGGGAUAACAGGCUGAUACCGCCCAAGAGUUCAUAUCGACGGCGGUGUUUGGCACCUCGAUGUCGGCUCAUCACAUCCUGGGGCUGAAGUAGGUCCCAAGGGUAUGGCUGUUCGCCAUUUAAAGUGGUACGCGAGCUGGGUUUAGAACGUCGUGAGACAGUUCGGUCCCUAUCUGCCGUGGGCGCUGGAGAACUGAGGGGGGCUGCUCCUAGUACGAGAGGACCGGAGUGGACGCAUCACUGGUGUUCGGGUUGUCAUGCCAAUGGCACUGCCCGGUAGCUAAAUGCGGAAGAGAUAAGUGCUGAAAGCAUCUAAGCACGAAACUUGCCCCGAG